Molecule: ribosomal RNA, 497 nt
Filed under: uncultured bacterium
Lineage: Bacteria
Description: partial 16S ribosomal RNA
Rfam family: Bacterial small subunit ribosomal RNA
Source: RNAcentral
GAUGAACGCUGGCGGCGUGCCUAAUACAUGCAAGUCGAGCGGACAGACGAUGAGCUUGCUCCUCUGCCGUUAGCGGCGGACGGGUGAGUGACACGUGGAUAACCUACCUAUAUUACUGGGGUAACUUCGGGAAGCCGGAGCUAAUACCACAUCAUAUGUUGUACCGCAUAGUUCAAUAGUGAAUGACGGUUUUGCUGUCUCUUAUAGCUGGAUCCGCGCCGCAUUAGCUAGUUGGUAAGGUAACGGCCUACCAAGGCAACGAUGCGUAGCCGACCUGAGAGGGUGAUCGGCCACACUGGAACUGAGACACGGUCCAGACUCCUACGGGAGGCAGCAGUAGGGAAUAUUCCGCAAUGGGCGAAAGCUUGACGGAGCAACGCCGCGUGAGUGAUGAAGGUCUUCGGAUCGUAAAGCCCUGUUAUUAGGGAAGAAAAGCAGUGGAAGUAAACCCGGCUGUUUUGACGGUACCCAAACAGAAAGCCACGGCUAACUACGUG